GAUGAAGAACGUAGCGAAAUGCGAUAAGUAAUGUGAAUUGCAGAAUUCAGUGAAUCAUCGAAUCUUUGAACGCAUCUUGCGCUCCUUGGUAUUCUGAGGAGCAUGCCUGUUUGAGUGUCAUUAAAUUCUCAACUACACUGACUUUGAAUUGGUGUGGCUUGGAUUUGGGGGGAAAAUUGUUGUGGGCUUUUUGUAUAGUCUGCUCCCCUGAAAUUGAUUAGCGGUACCUUUGUGGAACUGUCUACAGGUGUGAUAAUUAGCUACAUCUUAGACAUCUGCUGGAAUGCUGCUUUCUAACCCUUACUUGUAUUGACAAUCUUGACCUCAAAUCAGUUAGGACUACCCGCUGAACUUAAGCAUAUCAAUAAGCGGAGGA
RNAcentral lists this unclassified non-coding RNA (376 nucleotides) under soil metagenome. RNAcentral describes it as "partial contains 5.8S ribosomal RNA, internal transcribed spacer 2, and large subunit ribosomal RNA". The stretch from base 1 to 120 matches the Rfam family "5.8S ribosomal RNA", at positions 35 to 154 of the family's 154-position model. The record is from RNAcentral.